CUCGUAGGCGGCCAACUAAGUCAGACGUGAAAUCCCUAGGCUCAACCUAGGAACUGCGUCUGAUACUGGAUGGCUUGAAUCCGGGAGAGGGAUGCAGAAUUCCAGGUGUAGCGGUGAAAUGCGUAGAUAUCUGGAGGAAUACCGGUGGCGAAGGCGGCAUCCUGGACCGGCAUUGACGCUGAGGAGCGAAAGCCAGGGGAGCAAACG
Molecule: ribosomal RNA, 207 nt
Filed under: uncultured bacterium
Lineage: Bacteria
Description: partial 16S ribosomal RNA
Rfam family: Bacterial small subunit ribosomal RNA
Source: RNAcentral